RNAcentral lists this long non-coding RNA (219 nucleotides) under Helianthus annuus (common sunflower). RNAcentral's name for it is "hypothetical non coding rna". The record is from RNAcentral. Lineage: Eukaryota; Viridiplantae; Streptophyta; Magnoliopsida; Asterales; Asteraceae.
UUGUGUGUCCACAUUUCAUGACAGUAGUGUCUUUCAGCGAGUCGAAUAGUGAUGGUGCAUAGAAUUUUCAACACAUAAAUGGUUAUUACGCAGUGUUACAGAAUAGCAAGAUCCUGAUAAUUGAACAGCAUAAACAGAUAACAAAACCCCAAUGACAAUCAGAAGUCAAAUAUGAAAAUCAGCGGAUUAAACCAUAGUUAGAUGCAUACCACACUUCUU